CGGGUGAGUAACACGUGGAUAACCUACCUAUAAGACUGGGAUAACUUCGGGAAACCGGAGCUAAUACCGGAUAAUAUUUUGAACCGCAUGGUUCAAAAGUGAAAGACGGUCUUGCUGUCACUUAUAGAUGGAUCCGCGCUGCAUUAGCUAGUUGGUAAGGUAACGGCUUACCAAGGCAACGAUGCAUAGCCGACCUGAGAGGGUGAUCGGCCACACUGGAACUGAGACACGGUCCAGACUCUUACGGGAGGCAGCAGGA
RNAcentral lists this ribosomal RNA (259 nucleotides) under uncultured Staphylococcus sp. RNAcentral describes it as "partial 16S ribosomal RNA". It matches the Rfam family "Bacterial small subunit ribosomal RNA", at positions 103 to 354 of the family's 1533-position model. Lineage: Bacteria; Bacillati; Bacillota; Bacilli; Caryophanales; Staphylococcaceae. The record is from RNAcentral.